Molecule: ribosomal RNA, 253 nt
Filed under: uncultured bacterium
Lineage: Bacteria
Description: partial 16S ribosomal RNA
Rfam family: Bacterial small subunit ribosomal RNA
Source: RNAcentral
UACGGAGGGUGCAAGCGUUACUCGGAAUUACUGGGCGUAAAGCGCGCGUAGGCGGCUUGGUAAGUCGGAUGUGAAAGCCCUGGGCUCAACCUGGGAACUGCAUUCGAUACUGUCAAGCUAGAGUGUGGGAGAGGGAAGUGGAAUUUCCGGUGUAGCGGUGAAAUGCGUAGAUAUCGGAAGGAACAUCAGUGGCGAAGGCGGCUCACUGGACCGGAACUGACGCUGAGGCGCGAAAGCGUGGGGAGCAAACAGG